RNAcentral lists this ribosomal RNA (469 nucleotides) under uncultured Acidobacteriota bacterium. RNAcentral's name for it is "uncultured Acidobacteria bacterium partial 16S ribosomal RNA". Lineage: Bacteria; Pseudomonadati; Acidobacteriota. The record is from RNAcentral.
CCCUGUUACGACUUCACCCCCAAUCAUGAGCUGUACCUUGGAAGGCUGCCUCCUUGCGGUUAGCACACCUGCUUCUAGUACAACUCACUUUCGUGAUGUGACGGGCGGUGUGUACAAGGCCCGGGAACGUAUUCACGGCGUCAAUCUGAUACGCCAUUACUAGCGAUUCCGGCUUCAUGCAGUCGAGUUGCGACUGCAAUCCGAACUGAGCAGAGUUUUUUCCGAUUAGCUCCCCCCUCGCGGGUUGGCAACGGUUUGUGCCCUGCAUUGUAACACGUGUGAAGCCCUGGACAUAAAGGCCAUGCGGACUUGACCCCAUACCACCCUUCCUCCUCGUUAUCCGGACCAUCCCAGUAAAUUUCCUCCUUUCGGAAUGCCUCCUGAGGGGUUGNCANCGNUACNGACCUCCCNCCCACGGCNAGGAGUACUUACAAAAAACUGAAGGCACACCUGCUGAGUGUAGCGCAAG